This 89-nucleotide transfer RNA is filed under the name Paractinoplanes abujensis. RNAcentral's name for it is "Actinoplanes abujensis tRNA-Pro". The record is from RNAcentral. Lineage: Bacteria; Bacillati; Actinomycetota; Actinomycetes; Micromonosporales; Micromonosporaceae.
CCCGGGGCCGGGGUGGGGCCGGCGCGGUUCGGGACGGCGCGGGCAGCGCUGCGGGAGCGGUUCGGGGCGUUCCAAGCCUUCCGCCGGGG